GUGCUCACUUUGGUAGCACAUAUACUAAAAUUGGAAUGAAGAGAAGAUUAGCACGGUUCCUGCACAAGGAUGACAUGCAAAUUCGUGAAGCUUUCCAUAUUUUU
This is a small nuclear RNA of Peromyscus californicus insignis, 104 nucleotides long. The record is from RefSeq and is a predicted model, not a curated record. NCBI's taxonomy places the organism in Eukaryota, Metazoa, Chordata, Mammalia, Rodentia, Cricetidae.